This 1067-nucleotide long non-coding RNA is filed under the name Meleagris gallopavo (turkey). RNAcentral describes it as "lncRNA (ENSMGAG00000021276.1)". Lineage: Eukaryota; Metazoa; Chordata; Aves; Galliformes; Phasianidae. The record is from RNAcentral.
AAUUUUGGCAAGGAAAGGCACUUGGAAGCCAAUCAUCUGUAUUUUCUCAGGCCUGAUGUCCCUCUCCCGGUGCACGGCCCCGGCCGGCAGGAGGCAGCCCCCUGAGCCCCCUGUUGAUUUGUUCUGCCAGCGCUGAAUCAAUCCGACUGCGAUUUCAUUCUGUUGGUGGUGUUCUGAGUGCUUUCCUCAAAGCCCCCAACCCCACUGAGCUGCUGGGGAGUGCAGCUAUGGCAAUGGGUCCUCUUCAGCCCCCGAGGAUAAGUCCUGAUAGGAAGACCAGGACACAGCGAUGUCACACUCUGAGGCAGGUUGGGUUUUGUCUGCCAUUUUUUUAAAUCAUUUUGAGGCAGGAGUAAUAAAUGCUAAAGAUGCGCUCGGAAUUUGAAUAUGAAUGAUAAGAACAGCUGUGUAUAUCUAUUAUGAACGAAUAUAAACAGAAAUGUAUAAACUGAGAUUUUGGGGGCUUUGGGAAGAAUUAGUGUCUUUGUUCCUGGAUUUUUUUCCUAUCAGAGUUUGAACCAAAGCCCAUUAGCCCGGACUUUCCCGCAGCCGCCCCAGCCAGGAGCUUCAUUUCGCGCUGGCUCCGAGCCACGCUGAAUUCUCCUCAACAGCUCAGUGAGCCCUAAUCCUAACAAAUUUACCCAGAGAAGUGGUUCUCUUAUUACACUGCCUAAUUUGAACGCUUUCCAAGGUUAAUUUCUGCUCCCUCUCCCUCCAAACGCGCCUGCCCCCCCGCUCCCCGUUAGCGCCAGCCCGGGGGGAGCAGCCCCAGACCUUCCCCUCCUGGCCACGAUUGGUUUUAAAUGAGAAAAUAAUGCGAUGUUCGUCCCCGGGUGCAGGGUCUGCCCGCAGGGUUUCCUAAUGCUAAGCCACUUCCUUUGCAAAUUAAUUGCAACUUUUGCUGGGCAAAAAUAGCCCUGGAAGCCCAUUCCCCGCGGGCUCUUCUGCGUGUAAUACUACUCUGCUCAUAAUCUGAUUGCUGUGACUCUCAUUUCUUCUUUUCUCCUCUCCAUCCCGGGUGUAAUAGAGCCUGCAAGGGCUUUGCAGUACCUGUGGAGCAUCUUGGU